RNAcentral lists this ribosomal RNA (301 nucleotides) under uncultured bacterium. RNAcentral describes it as "partial 16S ribosomal RNA". It matches the Rfam family "Bacterial small subunit ribosomal RNA", at positions 509 to 807 of the family's 1533-position model. The record is from RNAcentral.
CAGCCGCCGCGGGAAUACGAAGGGUGCAAGCGUUACUCGGAAUUACUGGGCGUAAAGCGUGCGCAGGCGGUUUGUUAAGUCAGAUGUGAAAUCCCCGAGCUUAACUCGGGAACUGCAUUUGAAACUGGCAGGCUAGAGUCUCGUAGAGGGGGGUAGAAUUCCAGGUGUAGCGGUGAAAUGCGUAGAGAUCUGGAGGAAUACCGGUGGCGAAGGCGGCCCCCUGGACGAAGACUGACGCUCAGGUACGAAAGCGUGGGGAGCAAACAGGAUUAGAUACCCCUGUAGUCCCUGUCUCUUAUAC